UGUAUUAUUUCUGAAUUGGACACUGACAAUUUUAAGGACUAAAUUUUAUUUAUUUAAAAUUAAAAAAUAAAAUAUCCAAUUAUAAUUUGGAGUUACCAAAAACUAUAUACAGAAACUGGAGAACAUAUAGAUUACUGACACACCAAUAACAAAUUAAAAUAAAUUAUUUCGGGGAGUUCAAGCACUUAAGAUAUGUUUGUUUACCAUCACACUUGAGAUGUGUGUUACAAAAGUGGAAUUAUAGUAGCACCAAAAAGAAUAAAGUAAAUAAUGAAUACACUGGAAGAGCACUAUAACAUAUAAUGUUUCGGAGAAUUGACCGAGAUAAUUUGGGUAUUGAAGAAAAAAAAUAUGAGUGAAGACUUAAUUAACCCAGACAAACGUGCUCAAGAAGGAUUUUCUUUUUAAAAUGGGUAUUAGACAAAAGAUGUAGCACCUAUGACGUAUAAAUGGAUAAGAGAGAAUCACAAGGUCAAUGUCAAGAAGCAACAGCAACUCUUGGGUACUUGCAGUUAUGAGUCAAACGUCAACAUCACUUCGUUACCAUGAUAAUAUAUACUCUUCAUAUGUUUGAGUUAAAUUGAUAUGGUAGAAUGGGUUCAGAAAUAUAUGCCAUCCAAAAUGAAGUAAAAGGGCAGAAAUCAAUUAUUCAAAUUAAUCAUCAAUGCAACUUGGUUAGAAGGAAAGCUGCAUCGCUUUAUUUUCUCUUUUUGAUUUUACAUAUUAAAGUUGAGAUGUAGUAACUGAGGCCUAACAGUAAAUACAAUGCAUUUUACUGAGGGCUUGCUCUUGGAGGAGGUCCCUGGUUCAAAUCCUUGGUAUUGUUCAAUAGAUACAUGCAUGCAUACAUA
Molecule: long non-coding RNA, 851 nt
Filed under: Phoenix dactylifera (date palm)
Lineage: Eukaryota; Viridiplantae; Streptophyta; Magnoliopsida; Arecales; Arecaceae
Description: long non-coding RNA (PDAC_LNC015661)
Source: RNAcentral